Long non-coding RNA from Dermochelys coriacea (leatherback sea turtle), 203 nucleotides. RefSeq lists it as uncharacterized. The transcript is spliced from 3 exons. The record is from RefSeq and is a predicted model, not a curated record. Lineage: Eukaryota; Metazoa; Chordata; Testudines; Dermochelyidae.
UCCUGUCCCAACGCCCUGUGAUGCAUUGGUUCACAUCCCAGCAAUCCCUGUGCUUCCAUUCACAUUUGGCGCCAUCUUUAAAUGUUUUUUGUACUGCACGCUCUGUCUUCCCUUUCAGUCUGUGGGAACGGAGCCUGAACUGCUGGGGAAUGGCAAUUGGAAUGCUGAAGUUGCCAAAACUUAAGUGCUAUUUAACAAUUUUC